This is a non-coding RNA of Caerostris darwini, 72 nucleotides long. The record is from the annotation of a GenBank genome assembly. NCBI's taxonomy places the organism in Eukaryota, Metazoa, Arthropoda, Arachnida, Araneae, Araneidae.
UCCCACGUGGUCUAGUGGUUAGGAUACCUGGCUCUCACUCAAGAGGCCUGGGUUCGAUUCCCGGCGUGGGAA